RNAcentral lists this transfer RNA (70 nucleotides) under Trachymyrmex septentrionalis. It matches the Rfam family "tRNA". Rfam says of the family: Transfer RNA (tRNA) molecules are approximately 80 nucleotides in length. Their secondary structure includes four short double-helical elements and three loops (D, anti-codon, and T loops). Further hydrogen bonds mediate the characteristic L-shaped molecular structure. tRNAs have two regions of fundamental functional importance: the anti-codon, which is responsible for specific mRNA codon recognition, and the 3' end, to which the tRNAs corresponding amino acid is attached (by aminoacyl-tRNA synthetases). tRNAs cope with the degeneracy of the genetic code in two manners: having more than one tRNA (with a specific anti-codon) for a particular amino acid; and 'wobble' base-pairing, i.e. permitting non-standard base-pairing at the 3rd anti-codon position. The record is from Rfam by way of RNAcentral. Lineage: Eukaryota; Metazoa; Arthropoda; Insecta; Hymenoptera; Formicidae.
AGUUCUAUGGUGUAAUGCAACACUCUGGAGUUUGAAUUCAGCAAUCCGAGUUCAAAUUUCGGUAGAACCU